ACGGAAGGCAGCAGUGGGGAAUAUUGCACAAUGGGGGAAACCCUGAUGCAGCAACGCCGCGUGAGUGAUGACGGUCUUCGGAUUGUAAAGCUCUGUCUUUAGGGACGAUAAUGACGGUACCUAUGGAGGAAGCCACGGCUCACUACGUGCCAGCAGCCGCGGUAAUACGUAGGUGGCAAGCGUUGUCCGGAUUUACUGGGCGUAAAGGGAGCGUAGGUGGAUAUUUAAGUGGGAUGUGAAAUACUCGGGCUUAACCUGGGUGCUGCAUUCCAAACUGGAUAUCUAGAGUGCAGGAGAGGAAAGGAGAAUUCCUAGUGUAGCGGUGAAAUGCGUAGAGAUUAGGAAGAAUACCAGUGGCGAAGGCGCCUUUCUGGACUGUAACUGACACUGAGGCUCGAAAGCGUGGGGAGCAAACAGGAUUAGAUACCCUGGUA
This 434-nucleotide ribosomal RNA is filed under the name uncultured Clostridium sp. RNAcentral describes it as "partial 16S ribosomal RNA". It matches the Rfam family "Bacterial small subunit ribosomal RNA", at positions 341 to 792 of the family's 1533-position model. Lineage: Bacteria; Bacillati; Bacillota; Clostridia; Eubacteriales; Clostridiaceae. The record is from RNAcentral.